AAAAUGGUUUCAUGCAAUUCGAUAAUGAGAUAGUUUCGAACAAUAUCAACGUUGUGGAUAACAACGCCUGAGAGGAGAUGGAGAGAUUGUGCCCGAGGUGGGUAUGACAUUUAAAGAUGAAAAUGAGUUGUUUGAUUUCUACAAGCAAUAUGCCUAUGCAGUUGGUUUUCUAGUCAGAAAAAGAAAUUCUAAAAAGGGGGAUGAUGGAAUUGUUAGAUUUGUGACAUUUACAUGUAGUCGUGAAGGCCGAAGGUCUAGUAAUACAAACAGUGCUUUGAAGUCGCAACCAACAAGUCAAACAGAUUGUAAAGCACGAAUAUCUGUAUCUGCAGACUGUAAUGGCACAUGGAGAAUUAACACCGUCAACCUCCAGCAUAACCAUAAGACAAGUCCUUCGAAGUCUAGGAUGUUUCAGUGCAGUCGGGAAUUACGUGCAAAUGUAAAACGAAAGCUUGAAUUGAAUGACAUAGCGGGUAUUCCACUGUACAAAAGUUUCAACUCUACAGUUGUAGAGGCAGGUGGAUAUGAGAAUAUGACUUGUGUUGAAAAAUAUUGCUGAAAUUAUAUUGAACAAGUUAGACGGUUACGACUUGGAGAGGGAGAUGCAGUAGCAUUACAAUCUUACUUUUCACAGAUGCAAGCACGGUGCUCAGGGUUUUACUUCGCUAUGGAUUUGGAUGACGAGUCUCGGCUUAAGAAUGUAUUUUGGAUAGAUAAUAGAUGUAGGCAAGCUGACAAGGAGUUCGACGAUGUUGUAACCUUUGAUACCACUUAUUUGACGAAUAAGUACGACAUGCCUUUCGCACCUUUUGUUGGUGUGAAUCAUCACGGACAAUCAACACUGCUUGGUUGUGGCUUGUUAUCAAAUGAGAAUACAAGUACGUUUGUCUGGCUGCUUAGGACGUGGCUUGAGUGCAUGCAUGAUCAACCUUCAUGUGGAAUAAUUAUGGAUCAAGACAAAGCCAUGCAGAAUGAAAUCGAGAUUGUAUUUCCGAAUACUAGACAUAGAUGGUUUUUGUGGCACAUUAUGAAGAAAUUGCCAGAGAAGUUUGGAUGCCACAUUGAUAAAAGUUUGAUAUUCUCGACUAUACAUCAUUUGGUAUACGACUCGAAUGCUGUUGAUGAAUUUGAAGAAGGUUGGAGAGCUAUGAUCGAUGAGUUUGAGUUGCAUGACAAUGAUUAGUUGUUUGGAUUGUACGAAAAUUGAGGUCGUUGGGUGCCUUAUUUUUUGAAAACAACUUUCUAGGCCGGGAUGUCUACAACACAAUGAAGUGAAAGUAUGAAUACAUUUUUCGAUAGAUACGUCCAUUCGAAGACCUCUUUGAAGCAGUUCGUUGAACAGUACGAACAAGCACUAAGGAAUAAGGUUGAAAAAGAGUUCCAAGUUGAUUUCAAAUCAUACUCGUAGAUGGUCCAGUGUGCAACAAGUUUUGAGAUGGAAAAAUAAUUUCAAUUAGUAUACACAAUUUCACAGUUCAAGGAAUUUUAGGAUGAGUUUGUAGGAAAGAUUUAUUGUGAUGUCGCUUCAGAAGUAGAGGGAUUGGAUGGGGUGAAGUACGAGGUUCGGGAGUCUAUAGUAUACCUCAAGGGUAGGAAGAAGAAAACAUUUCUCGUCUUAUUUCGGAUGGACUCUAGUGAAGUGAUGUGUAGUUGCCACUUGUUUGAGUUUUGAGGAAUUAUUUGUAGGCAUGCGAUCACAGUAUUCGACCGUAAUGACUUCACACGAACGCCAGAGAAGUAUAUAUUGCGGCGGUGGAGGAAAGAUGUUAGUAGGGCACAUACGAAGGUCGCAGUGAACUACGCCGGGUUGGUUAGUAUGCUUGAACAAUUAACCUAUGAUGAUAUGUGUCAAGCAUUUUCGGAGGUGGCAGACCUCACUGCGAGUGACAAAGGCCAGGCUUGAGCAAUAAUGGAUUAGAUAAAAUGCCAAGCAACAGAGUUGAGGACUUCCCGGUCGAGUGGUGGUAGUAAUGUCCUUCCCCAGCAAAAUUUUCAGGGUGCCACAUAGUGCAUUGGAUCGUAGAAUACCACUGGCAUGAGUGUGUUGAAUCCUAACUCGUCAAAAUGAAAGGGCGUGUUGAGGAAGCUUAAGAAAAAAGGCCCGUUGGAGUGUAUUUCGAAGAAGGUAACGGUAUUUUUCCCUAUUAAUCUCUUCAAGUACAUGCGACCUCCACCACAAAAUUUGAAUUUUGUCCAUGUAUGUGCAGGCAAGUUCAAAGUCAGACAAAGGAAAGAGACUGAGAGAUAGGUGCAUUGAUAUGGAAGAGGCUGCACCUAAAGUCCAGCAAUCUCAACAACUUCAACAUUCGCAGCCAGCACCAUUCUCGUAUUCAUAGCUUCUGUUGGUCAGUAAGCGUAAUUUAUUUUCAUAGUUUUUAUAUUUUUAUUUUCUAAUUAUGUUGGUAUUGGACAUAGGGUGACUUCGAAAGUCAAGUGUGUACGCAACUUUCAUUAUCAUCUUCUAAUGUUGUAUUCAAUUCACAAGGUGAACACGUGUUUACAUAAUCAUAAUUCACAGUCGAUUUUUCCCCUUUUUUCAUGUGUUUGUUGACCCAAAUUUUAAUUUAGGUGCGUAUUUUACUAACCCGCAUUUACCACAUCCCGAAGUUGCAGUGGCUGGGACGAGCCAAAUAGCAUAUAAUUUUCUUCAGGUUCAUUUUUAGUGAAUGUGGAUUUUAGACCAUAAUGUUGUUAGACCGAAUUUAGCGUCUCAUGUGUUAUGUUAUUUUUCCCCUUCUUUCAGGUUCAAGGUUCAGAUUCUUUUCCAAGAGCAACGCACUUGGCAAAUUUGUCCAACGUUGUCC
This 2804-nucleotide long non-coding RNA is filed under the name Olea europaea subsp. europaea. Lineage: Eukaryota; Viridiplantae; Streptophyta; Magnoliopsida; Lamiales; Oleaceae. The record is from RNAcentral.